RNAcentral lists this ribosomal RNA (1339 nucleotides) under Staphylococcus aureus. RNAcentral describes it as "partial 23S ribosomal RNA". It matches the Rfam family "Bacterial large subunit ribosomal RNA", at positions 1582 to 2925 of the family's 2925-position model. The record is from RNAcentral. Lineage: Bacteria; Bacillati; Bacillota; Bacilli; Caryophanales; Staphylococcaceae. RNAcentral also lists the same sequence under 7 other names.
GUCUUCGAGUCGUUGAUUUCACACUGCCGAGAAAAGCCUCUAGAUAGAAAAUAGGUGCCCGUACCGCAAACCGACACAGGUAGUCAAGAUGAGAAUUCUAAGGUGAGCGAGCGAACUCUCGUUAAGGAACUCGGCAAAAUGACCCCGUAACUUCGGGAGAAGGGGUGCUCUUUAGGGUUAACGCCCAGAAGAGCCGCAGUGAAUAGGCCCAAGCGACUGUUUAUCAAAAACACAGGUCUCUGCUAAACCGUAAGGUGAUGUAUAGGGGCUGACGCCUGCCCGGUGCUGGAAGGUUAAGAGGAGUGGUUAGCUUCUGCGAAGCUACGAAUCGAAGCCCCAGUAAACGGCGGCCGUAACUAUAACGGUCCUAAGGUAGCGAAAUUCCUUGUCGGGUAAGUUCCGACCCGCACGAAAGGCGUAACGAUUUGGGCACUGUCUCAACGAGAGACUCGGUGAAAUCAUAGUACCUGUGAAGAUGCAGGUUACCCGCGACAGGACGGAAAGACCCCGUGGAGCUUUACUGUAGCCUGAUAUUGAAAUUCGGCACAGCUUGUACAGGAUAGGUAGGAGCCUUUGAAACGUGAGCGCUAGCUUACGUGGAGGCGCUGGUGGGAUACUACCCUAGCUGUGUUGGCUUUCUAACCCGCACCACUUAUCGUGGUGGGAGACAGUGUCAAGCGGGCAGUUUGACUGGGGCGGUCGCCUCCUAAAAGGUAACGGAGGCGCUCAAAGGUUCCCUCAGAAUGGUUGGAAAUCAUUCAUAGAGUGUAAAGGCAUAAGGGAGCUUGACUGCGAGACCUACAAGUCGAGCAGGGUCGAAAGACGGACUUAGUGAUCCGGUGGUUCCGCAUGGAAGGGCCAUCGCUCAACGGAUAAAAGCUACCCCGGGGAUAACAGGCUUAUCUCCCCCAAGAGUUCACAUCGACGGGGAGGUUUGGCACCUCGAUGUCGGCUCAUCGCAUCCUGGGGCUGUAGUCGGUCCCAAGGGUUGGGCUGUUCGCCCAUUAAAGCGGUACGCGAGCUGGGUUCAGAACGUCGUGAGACAGUUCGGUCCCUAUCCGUCGUGGGCGUAGGAAAUUUGAGAGGAGCUGUCCUUAGUACGAGAGGACCGGGAUGGACAUACCUCUGGUGUACCAGUUGUCGUGCCAACGGCAUAGCUGGGUAGCUAUGUGUGGACGGGAUAAGUGCUGAAAGCAUCUAAGCAUGAAGCCCCCCUCAAGAUGAGAUUUCCCAACUUCGGUUAUAAGAUCCCUCAAAGAUGAUGAGGUUAAUAGGUUCGAGGUGGAAGCAUGGUGACAUGUGGAGCUGACGAAUACUAAUCGAUCGAAGACUUAAUCAA